RNAcentral lists this ribosomal RNA (448 nucleotides) under uncultured bacterium. Its description in RNAcentral is "partial 16S ribosomal RNA". It matches the Rfam family "Bacterial small subunit ribosomal RNA", at positions 29 to 523 of the family's 1533-position model. The record is from RNAcentral.
AACGAGCGCUGGCGGCAGGCCUAACACAUGCAAGUCGAACGAACCGUUUACGGUGAGUGGCGCACGGGUGAGUAACACGUGGAAUAUACAUUUCGGUAAGGAAUAACGUAGAGAAAUUUACGCUAAUACCUUAUAAUGACUACGGUCCAAAGAUUUAUCGCCGAAGGAUUAGCCCGCGUUAGAUUAGGUAGUUGGUAGGGUAAUGGCCUACCAAGCCUACGAUCUAUAGCUGGUCUUAGAGGAUGAUCAGCCACACUGGAACUGAGACACGGUCCAGACUCCUACGGGAGGCAGCAGUGAGGAAUAUUGCGCAAUGGGGGAAACCCUGACGCAGCCAUGCCGCGUGAGUGACGAAGGCCUUAGGGUUGUAAAGCUCUUUCAGAUGUAAAGAUAAUGACGGUAACAUCAGAAGAAGCUCCGGCUAAAUUCGUGCCAGCCGCCGCCGUAA